UUGAAUGCUGGCGGCAGGCCUAACACAUGCAAGUCGCGCGGAUGAAGGGAGCUUGCUCCUGGAUUCAGCGGCGGACGGGUGAGUAAUGCCUAGGAAUCUGCCUGGUAGUGGGGGAUAACGUCCGGAAACGGGCGCUAAUACCGCAUACGUCCUGAGGGAGAAAGUGGGGGAUCUUCGGACCUCACGCUAUCAGAUGAGCCUAGGUCGGAUUAGCUAGUUGGUGGGGUAAAGGCCUACCAAGGCGACGAUCCGUAACUGGUCUGAGAGGAUGAUCAGUCACACUGGAACUGAGACACGGUCCAGACUCCUACGGGAGGCAGCAGUGGGGAAUAUUGGACAAUGGGCGAAAGCCUGAUCCAGCCAUGCCGCGUGUGUGAAGAAGGUCUUCGGAUUGUAAAGCACUUUAAGUUGGGAGGAAGGGCAGUAAGUUAAUACCUUGCUGUUUUGACGUUACCAACAGAAUAAGCACCGGCUAACUUCGUG
This 483-nucleotide ribosomal RNA is filed under the name uncultured bacterium. RNAcentral's name for it is "partial 16S ribosomal RNA". It matches the Rfam family "Bacterial small subunit ribosomal RNA", at positions 30 to 507 of the family's 1533-position model. The record is from RNAcentral.